AUGACAAUGGAGCCCCUCGGCGGUGUCAUCUCAGUUUGCUGCGUCCAGCCUCACUUUACUGGAUCCAAAUUCAAGUGCAGGCUGGCAUUCUCGUGCGUUGAACCAAGCUACUCUCGGGCUACGGAGUUCUUAACGAGGGGCACUAAUCUGUAUGAUGGGUUUCCCAAAGAUUGCUUCCCCUUCCUUGUGCUGAAGAUGUUGCUUCGGGGCACCGGUGCAAGCACCAUAGCCAUGAUGGGGGUGACCGUGACACCACAAUAG
RNAcentral lists this ribosomal RNA (261 nucleotides) under Triticum aestivum (bread wheat). RNAcentral describes it as "partial small subunit ribosomal RNA". Lineage: Eukaryota; Viridiplantae; Streptophyta; Magnoliopsida; Poales; Poaceae. The record is from RNAcentral.